CUGAUCUCUUAGUUAAAAAGCUAAGAUUUUUCCGCAAGACGAGAAGACCCUGUGGAGCUUCAAACCAAACUCAUAGCAUGAUACACCGGUUUUUAGUUGGGGCGACUUCGGAGAAUAAAAAAUCCUCCGACCAAACACAAUAGAAGAUUAACAUAUCAAAGUAUAAUUAGACCCAGUAGUAUUUAUUACUAACUGAUUAACGAACCAAGUUACCCCAGGGAUAACAGCGCCAUCCUCUUCUAGAGUCCCUAUCGACAAGAGGGCUUACGACCUCGAUGUUGGAUCAGGACA
This 291-nucleotide ribosomal RNA is filed under the name Acanthodactylus orientalis. RNAcentral's name for it is "partial 16S ribosomal RNA". It matches the Rfam family "Bacterial large subunit ribosomal RNA", at positions 2042 to 2544 of the family's 2925-position model. Lineage: Eukaryota; Metazoa; Chordata; Lepidosauria; Squamata; Lacertidae. The record is from RNAcentral.